Molecule: ribosomal RNA, 650 nt
Filed under: uncultured bacterium
Lineage: Bacteria
Description: bacterial SSU rRNA
Rfam family: Bacterial small subunit ribosomal RNA
Source: RNAcentral
GGGGAAGGUGUAGACGGGUGAGUACGCGUGGAACAUGCCCUUCACUACGGAAUAGCUUUUGGAAACGAAAGGUAAUACCGUAUACGCCCUCCGAGGGAAAGAUUUAUCGGUGAAGGAUUGGUCCGCGUUAGAUUGGCUAGUUGGUGGGGUAACGGCCUACCAAGGCGACGAUCUAUAGCUGGUCUGAGAGGAUGAUCAGCCACACUGGGACUGAGACACGGCCCAGACUCCUACGGGAGGCAGCAGUGGGGAAUAUUGGACAAUGGGCGCAAGCCUGAUCCAGCCAUGCCGCGUGAAUGAUGAAGGCCUUAGGGUUGUAAAAUUCUUUCGCCAGGGAUGAUAAUGACAGUACCUGGUAAAGAAGCCCCGGCUAACUUCGUGCCAGCAGCCGCGGUAAUACGAAGGGGGCUAGCGUUGUUCGGAACUACUGGGCCCAAAGCGCGCGUAGGCGGACUUUUAAGUCAGAUGUGAAAUCCCGGGGCUCAACCUCGGCACUGCAUUUGAAACUGGGAGUCUAGAGUUCAGGAGAGGUUAGCGGAAUACCGAGUGUAGAGGUGAAAUUCGUAGAUAUUCGGUGGAACACCAGUGGCGAAGGCGGCUAACUGGACUGAUACUGACGCUGAGGUGCGAAAGUGUGGGGAGCAAACAGG